AUCCGAAUGUUGGGUCAUCAUUGCUAGAUAAUUACAUCGAUUAGUAUAAAAAGUUGUUCCUAUACUACCAGCUUAGGUUUGAAACUAUAGGGUCAUACGCAUUAGAAGAUUUAGUCAGAUCUGAUGGCUGAAGAGUCCAAUUGGAUUGUUACUCUGAUGAUGAGUCCUAUUGGGAUUGAAACUCUAGAGCAGAGUCCCACUGGAACUGAGACUCUACUAUUUAUAAAAAAUUAAUUAGUAAUUAGAUUACUAAUUAACUCAAUUUGAUUGAGCAAAGAGCUUUGGAUCAAGUCUAAUUAAAUGAGAUUCAGUUCGACUCAGAUUGGGUUUGAUAUGAUCAAUCCUGAUUAC
RNAcentral lists this long non-coding RNA (351 nucleotides) under Elaeis guineensis (African oil palm). Its description in RNAcentral is "long non-coding RNA (EGUI_LNC058694)". The record is from RNAcentral. Lineage: Eukaryota; Viridiplantae; Streptophyta; Magnoliopsida; Arecales; Arecaceae.